This 74-nucleotide transfer RNA is filed under the name Phycisphaerales bacterium. Its description in RNAcentral is "tRNA-Pro". It matches the Rfam family "tRNA". From Rfam's summary of the family: Transfer RNA (tRNA) molecules are approximately 80 nucleotides in length. Their secondary structure includes four short double-helical elements and three loops (D, anti-codon, and T loops). The record is from RNAcentral. Lineage: Bacteria; Pseudomonadati; Planctomycetota; Phycisphaerae; Phycisphaerales.
CAGGGUGUAGCUCAGCUUGGUAGAGCGCGAGUUUUGGGUACUCGAGGCCGCUGGUUCGAAUCCAGUCACCCUGA